RNAcentral lists this small nuclear RNA (117 nucleotides) under Haemaphysalis longicornis (longhorned tick). RNAcentral describes it as "U12 minor spliceosomal RNA". It matches the Rfam family "U12 minor spliceosomal RNA". From Rfam's summary of the family: Although the U12 sequence is very divergent from that of U2, the two are functionally analogous. Lineage: Eukaryota; Metazoa; Arthropoda; Arachnida; Ixodida; Ixodidae. The record is from Rfam by way of RNAcentral.
GUGCCUUAAACUAAUGAGUAAGGAAAAUAACCAGCCAGAAUUUUUGGAGGGGCACAGGUCGUCCCAGGGGCGUCCCGCCUACUUUUGCGGGAUGCCCGGGUUGUUGCGAUCUGCCCC